Long non-coding RNA from Gallus gallus (chicken), 1473 nucleotides. Lineage: Eukaryota; Metazoa; Chordata; Aves; Galliformes; Phasianidae. The record is from Ensembl.
CUUCCAAUUCCUUCUUCUCCAUGUUCUUGGGAACACACUAAAAUGAAUCUUCUGGUUCCACUGCUUGUAUGAGGUAGCUGAGCUGUUCUACAAGUACCUAUUAUAUUCCUCAUGCCAAAUUCAGAACUACACUGAUUUAUCUGUCAGCAGAGGAACUUCCUUGUGCUUUCAGUCCAUUCAUUUUGACCAAGGGAACUGACGUUGUUCAAUCUGGAGAAAAGAAGGCUGAGAAGAGGAAAACUUCAUUACCCUCCUGCUGCAAACACCUGAACAUGCUGUAGUGAUGAAAAACUUAUUCUCAGAAAGACUGGUAAUGCAUUGGAACAGGCUGCCCAAGGAGGUAGUAGAGUCACCAUCCCUGGAGGUAUUCAAGGAAAAGGUAGAUGUGGAACUGAGGAACAUGGCUUAGUAGGCAUGAUGAGGAUGGGUUGUUAGUUAGACUAGAUGAUCGUAGUAGCCACUUCCAACGUUUAUGAUUCUAUGAGGAGGCUGUCAGCACCUUUUCUCACCUGAGAGCAGAUGAAAUAUGAAGAAAAGGUCUCAGGUAGCACCUUGGUAGGUUUAGAUUGGAUAUAAGAAAGAAUUUCUUUACAGAAAGUGUGAUCUGGCAUUGGAAUGGGCUGCCCAGGAAACCGGUGGAUUCUCCAUCCCUGAAGGUAUUUAGGAGACACGUGGAUAUGGCCCUUAGUGACAUGGUUUAGUGGUGGACUUGGUAGUGUUAGGUGAUGAUUGGACUUGAUGAACAUAGGACUUUUUCCAAAAUGAAUGAUUCUAAGGUUCUGUGACUCAGUGAUUUAGAUGUUGGUAAUAAUGGUCAAAUUAUCUGACUUAAAUACAGAAGUACAGUCCAAGAACAGCAUUAAUGAAGGUGCUGUGCAAAUCCAGAGGUAGAUGCACACAACACUACUCUUGUCUUGUCACAAUUUACACCCUGACACCUGAUCAGGUUGGCCACAUUGCUGACUCCUUCAUUCUGCCCUGGGGCACUGUGCCCUGCUCUCAGCUACUCUGCGGUAUUUACAUUGUCCUUUGGGCAUAGUCCCUCAAUAUCGAUCUACACAAACAGGAAAGAAGAAAAGCAAACAACAACAAAAAAAGUGUGAAGUCUUCUGUUCCUCUCUGCCUGAUGGCUGCUAAGCAGCUGCAUGCAGCACAGCUGAGACCUGCUACUCCUGGCUGAGAAGAGCAGCCCACAGAGCAAGGCCAUUGAGCCGUUUUAGGAGGAGUCACCCACAGCACAGAACUACAAAGCUCUUCUGUGCAUAAUGAUUCUGUGGGUCUUUUCCAACCUUAGCGAUAAUCUAUGAUUCUAUGAUUCUGUAAUCUGUCACUGUACCUGGCCCUGAAGAGCAGUGGGAUGUGGAUUUUACUUGCACAGGAAAAUGCAGUGGUUUCUUUGAUAACUCUCUGCAUUGUAUGUAUGUAUUUAUUUAUUUAUUUAUUGGCACAUACAAAUCCCAAGGAGAAACCUAU